This 212-nucleotide unclassified non-coding RNA is filed under the name Ascomycota sp. Its description in RNAcentral is "partial contains small subunit ribosomal RNA and internal transcribed spacer 1". The stretch from base 1 to 47 matches the Rfam family "Eukaryotic small subunit ribosomal RNA", at positions 1785 to 1831 of the family's 1831-position model. Lineage: Eukaryota; Fungi; Ascomycota. The record is from RNAcentral.
AAAGUCGUAACAAGGUUUCCGUAGGUGAACCUGCGGAAGGAUCAUUAAAGGAUUUGCACGCAUAUGUGUGCAAAGCCCCAACCCUGUGAUGUGUAUUGUGUGUGUGAGUGUGGCCUCAUGUGCCACGCCUACUUUUUUAACCAUUCUCUUUUACAUUCUGAAGUAUGAACAAAAACAAUCGAAAACUGCCAGCAAUGGAUCACUUGGUUCUC